This 395-nucleotide ribosomal RNA is filed under the name uncultured bacterium. RNAcentral's name for it is "partial 16S ribosomal RNA". It matches the Rfam family "Bacterial small subunit ribosomal RNA", at positions 523 to 918 of the family's 1533-position model. The record is from RNAcentral.
AUACGUAGGGUGCAAGCGUUAAUCGGAAUUACUGGGCGUAAAGCGUGCGCAGGCGGUUUUGUAAGACAGUGGUGAAAUCCCCGGGCUCAACCUGGGAAAUGCCAUUGUGACUGCAAGGCUGGAGGGCGGCCGAGGGGGAUGGAAUUCCGCGGGUAGCAGGGAAAUGCGUAGAUAUGCGGAGGAACACCGAUGGCGAAGGCAAUCCCCUGGGCCUGCACUGACGCUCAUGCACGAAAGCGUGGGGAGCAAACAGGAUUAGAUACCCUGGUAGUCCACGCCCUAAACGAUGUCAACUGGUUGUUGGGGAUUUAUUUUCUCAGUAACGAAGCUAACGCGUGAAGUUGACCGCCUGGGGAGUACGGCCGCAAGGUUAAAACUCAAAUGAAUUGACGGGG